Manihot esculenta (cassava) is the source of this 740-nucleotide long non-coding RNA. RefSeq lists it as uncharacterized. The transcript has 2 exons. The record is from RefSeq and is a predicted model, not a curated record. Lineage: Eukaryota; Viridiplantae; Streptophyta; Magnoliopsida; Malpighiales; Euphorbiaceae.
UCCCUCCCUCUCUCUCUCUCCCUCUUCUUCCCUCUCGAUCUCUAUUCUUGAAGCCAGGAAAUGAGUUCAAGGACUUCGGCCAAAAGACAGCAUGAGGAGUCGCCACCACCUCCGUUUAAAGAAUCGGAUAAGGUAAGAGAUGAUACUUCUAAAAUAAGCAUUAAACCUGUCAAUGAAAAAGAGGUAAAUUACCCUUAUAUCCCCAUCAGCUAUUAUUUCUUAAAUCUAAUUGAAAAAAGGCAUGAAGGCUUAAAGUCUUAUGACGCAGCUGAUUAUUAUAUUGAGUAUCAUUCAGCAGUUCCUUUUCUGCCAAAAGCAUAUGACUAUUAUCAGGCCAUCCUAGCAGAAACCGGAUCUGUAGACAUAGCACCCACUGAAAGAACUGGACACUAAUGGGCUUAUAGUAAAUUCAUUAUAAAAAGAAUAGUGAUCAGUGAAGAAUGGGGUGACUCUCUCUUUAAACAAAGAGAGCUGAAAUACGAUAAACCUAGGUGGUAUAGUUAUUUUGACUACAUACAAGCCUGGACUGGAGCACUACUGUAUGAGAAUCGACAGCGGAAAUUCAACUGGUUCAUACAAUUCCAACUGAAAAAAGGGGAUCAGGAAUUUCCUCCCUGGUUCCAUGAAUGGUUUUUUAAUUGGGGAAUAUUUCCAAUCAUUUUACCUAAUAAGGUACAUACUGUUUAUGAACAGUUCACUAAUCCCUGGUUAAUGUUCACAGUCCUAAGCUUCCAUGGAUA